GGAAGGGUGGCAGAGUCUGGCUGAUUGCACUGGUCUCGAAAACCAGAGUGCCCUUCUAGGGUACCGGGGGUUCAAAUCCCUCCCCUUCCGCCU
Molecule: transfer RNA, 93 nt
Filed under: Bacteroidetes bacterium QS_9_68_14
Lineage: Bacteria; Pseudomonadati; Bacteroidota
Description: tRNA-Ser
Rfam family: tRNA
About the family: Transfer RNA (tRNA) molecules are approximately 80 nucleotides in length.
Source: RNAcentral